GCGGCGUGCUUAACACAUGCAAGUCGAACGGAAAGGCCCUGCUUUUGUGGGGUGCUCGAGUGGCGAACGGGUGAGUAACACGUGAGUAACCUGCCCUUGACUUUGGGAUAACUUCAGGAAACUGGGGCUAAUACCGGAUAGGAGCUCCUGCUGCAUGGUGGGGGUUGGAAAGUUUCGGCGGUUGGGGAUGGACUCGCGGCUUAUCAGCUUGUUGGUGGGGUAGUGGCUUACCAAGGCUUUGACGGGUAGCCGGCCUGAGAGGGUGACCGGCCGCAUUGGGACUGAGAUACGGCCCAGACUCCUACGGGAGGCAGCAGUGGGGAAUAUUGCACAAUGGGCGGAAGCCUGAUGCAGCAACGCCGCGUGCGGGAUGACGGCCUUCGGGUUGUAAACCGCUUUCGCCUGUGACGAAGCGUGAGUGACGGUAAUGGGUAAAGAAGCACCGGCUAACUACGUGCCAGCAGCCGCGGUGAUACGUAGGGUGCGAGCGUUGUCCGGAUUUAUUGGGCGUAAAGGGCUCGUAGGUGGUUGAUCGCGUCGGAAGUGUAAUCUUGGGGCUUAACCCUGAGCGUGCUUUCGAUACGGGUUGACUUGAGGAAGGUAGGGGAGAAUGGAAUUCCUGGUGGAGCGGUGGAAUGCGCAGAUAUCAGGAGGAACACCAGUGGCGAAGGCGGUUCUCUGGGCCUUUCCUGACGCUGAGGAGCGAAAGCGUGGGGAGCGAACAGGCUUAGAUACCCUGGUAGUCCACGCUGUAAACGGUGGGUACUAGGUGUGGGGUCCAUUCCACGGGUUCCGUGCCGUAGCUAACGCUUUAAGUACCCCGCCUGGGGAGUACGGCCGCAAGGCUAAAACUCAAAGGAAUUGACGGGGCCCCGCACAAGCGGCGGAGCAUGCGGAUUAAUUCGAUGCAACGCGUAGAACCUUACCUGGGUUUGACAUGGAUCGGGAGUGCUCAGAGAUGGGUGUGCCUCUUUUGGGGUCGGUUCACAGGUGGUGCAUGGCUGUCGUCAGCUCGUGUCGUGAGAUGUUGGGUUAAGUCCCGCAACGAGCGCAACCCUUGUUCACUGUUGCCAGCACGUUAUGGUGGGGACUCAGUGGAGACCGCCGGGGUCAACUCGGAGGAAGGUGGGGAUGACGUCAAGUCAUCAUGCCCCUUAUGUCCAGGGCUUCACGCAUGCUACAAUGGCUGGUACAGAGAGUGGCGAGCCUGUGAGGGUGAGCGAAUCUCGGAAAGCCGGUCUCAGUUCGGAUUGGGGUCUGCAACUCGACCUCAUGAAGUCGGAGUCGCUAGUAAUCGCAGAUCAGCAACGCUGCGGUGAAUACGUUCCCGGGGCUUGUACACACCGCCCGUCAAGUCAUGAAAGUUGGUAACACCCGAAGCCGGUGGCCUAACCGUUGUGGGGGAGCCGUCGAAGGUGGGACUGGUGAUUAGGACUAA
RNAcentral lists this ribosomal RNA (1438 nucleotides) under uncultured organism. Its description in RNAcentral is "16S ribosomal RNA". It matches the Rfam family "Bacterial small subunit ribosomal RNA". The record is from RNAcentral.